CAUUAUUGAAUAAAUGUUGAUAGGCUGUUGCUGGCUCUCCCCUGGGGGGCGCAUGUGCACGCUUGUCAUCUUUAUUUUUCCACCUGUGCACUUUUUGUAGAAUUCUAGAGAAUUUUCUGAGAAAAAUCAGAAGGGUUGAGGAUUGCUGUGUCUCUUUUCAAUGAGCCACCUUUGCCUUUGAAGUAUCUCUAGGUUUCUAUGUCAUUCACAUACUCCUAUGAAUGUAACAUAAUGUUGAUCCUUGGGUCUUUUAGCACCUAUAAAAAGUUAUAUACAACUUUCAGCAACGGAUCUCUUGGCUCUCGCAUCGAUGAAGAACGCAGCGAAAUGCGAUAAGUAAUGUGAAUUGCAGAAUUCAGUGAAUCAUCGAAUCUUUGAACGCAUCUUGCGCUCCUUGGUAUUCUGAGGAGCAUGCCUGUUUGAGUGUCAUUAAAUUCUCAACUACAUCAAUUUCAUUUUUUGGUGUAGAUUGGAUUUGGGGGGAUUGUUUGCGGGCUUUUUUUGUAAAAUAAAGUCGGCUCCCCUGAAAUUUUUUAGAGAAAUAUCAGAAGUGGAGAGGAGUGCUGUGUCUAUUUAAAAAGACACAGUUAUCCCUUAGAAGUAUCUGGGGGUUUAUGUGUCAUUCACAUACUCAUAAAAAUGUAACAGAAUGGUGCUCCGGGGGUUUUUGAGCACAUAAAAAGAGUUAUAUACAAUUUUCAGAAAGGGAUCUUAGGUCUCUCGCAGAGGAGAAGAACGGAGCGAAAUGAGAAAAGAAAUGUGAAUUGCAGAACUGAGAGAAUCAUAGAAUCUUAGAACGUAUCGUGCGCUCCGUGGUUUUGUGGGGCGCACGCCUGUGAGAGUGUCAUUAAAUUCUCAAACACAUCAAUUUCUUUUUGGGGUGGAGAUUGGAUUGGGGGGGAGUGUUCGCGGGUUUUUUUUAUAAAAAAAAGUGGGCUCCCGAAAAAUUGAUUAGCGGUACCUGUGUAGCACCGUACACAGGUGUGAUAAUUUAUAUACGCCGAGAGAUGUGCGCACAAAAGAAAGGUUAUGCUGCUUCCCAACCACAUUUGUUGACAAUCUGA
RNAcentral lists this unclassified non-coding RNA (1064 nucleotides) under uncultured Inocybe. Its description in RNAcentral is "sequence contains ITS1, 5.8S rRNA gene and ITS2". The stretch from base 276 to 429 matches the Rfam family "5.8S ribosomal RNA". Lineage: Eukaryota; Fungi; Basidiomycota; Agaricomycetes; Agaricales; Cortinariaceae. The record is from RNAcentral.